AUACUCUGAAUCAGAUUAUACACUCUGAAAUAUAAAUUCAGGCCAUAUACAUUCCGCUUUUGCAGCUAACCUACCAAGUAUUACACUUCUAGGACCAAAAACUUGAAAGUGGAAUAGCACAACUUAAGUAUUGAACUAACCUCUACUUGAAAGCAUUGCACGCAUUUGUGAAUUCAAGCAUAGUUAUCUGGAGGAAAUAAUUCAGCAAAUACAAUAUGCGUCGAAAAUUCAGAGAUCUCAUGAGAGGUGGAUUGAUGCCCAAUGUAUUGAGAAACAAUACACAUGUUUCAGCAGGUAGUUCGAUGAACUGAAGCAAAUUAUCUACAAAGAAUAGAAAAGAAAAUGAGUACAUAACCCGGGGACCAAAUUGGUAAACAAUACCACAAUCUUGAAAAGAAACAUCAACAUCAGUAAAUUUUAGAAGUCUUGUGCCACUUGCGGUUGCGCCCCAUGAAAUGGCAAGAGAACCGCACAUAGUGGCAAGCAGUUGGCUUUGCUCGGCAAACAAAACUUGCAGAAUGUUUUGUAAGAAUUUUGGUAAUUUUACUACAUAACAAUUCUCCUAAUUCCUAACCAAAAAACAUUACCCAAACAACUGCAGGAUUUUUUUCUCUAAAACCUAGACUUGCAAGAGAAACAUCCACAGUUGUACACAAACCAAUGCUGAUAUCAUUUGCAGAAUUUCCUGAGUUCGUUCUUGCUACUUUUUCACAUGGCAGUCAGUCAAUUUGACAAUUUUUUCAGUGCUCAAAUAUUGAAAUAUAUGUUCUUAUAGCGAGUAUGUUCAGAGGACCGUAGAGAAAAACAGGUUUGUAUUAAUUGACUUGUUAAUUGACUCUCUACAGCCCCUCAAAAAUUAUACACAAACACAAUCGUCAAAAUCCGGAGCCGACCCUCAAGUAAGCUAGCUAGGUUCUGGGCUUAGUGCUGAAGUGCAUAGUACUGUGCUACAUCACAUUACAGGGAGACGAUGAUACGAGCAGGAGGAAUUUGAGUAUCCUAAACUGUAACAGAACAGCCCCACUACCGCAAACCAUCGAUACAUCAAGAUCUUUAUUUUACCAUCUCUAAAUAAAUUUCUAAAUACACAAAAUCUUGAGGGACUGACUGUUAGCUACAACCAAGCUCUGUUAUACUACAAGAAGUAGAAUAAAGCAUGUGAGACUGGGUAUCUCCAUUGCGACUCUGCUCCACAUUGGUCAGCUCAAACAGACUCCAGCCAGUACUAAAUGGCAGGGAGCGGCGAAGGUUUAAGCCGCAUCUAAUCUGAUCUACCCAACAAGUUACUAAGUUUAAUACUGGAUUUACUUGUUCCAGUAAAAUUGCUUCCUUGCUAUGAAUUAUUGAUCUAGUAAUCAUACCAUAACAAUCACUCAUCAUUAUAGGUUUCACUCUUGUUUGUAAACUCUGCAGAAAUAUUAACCACAUAAAUCUUGUAAGCAAUUAUCUACGAAAAACUGGUUCUGCAUGUAAGUACGCUAAUUCUUGCAAACAUAAAUCUGCUUGGACUGAAAAGCCUGGAACAACAUGGCCUGAUGUUGUUGCUAUUCAUGGUGUAAUUCACAGGAUGCUUCAAGGCGAAAAAGUUCUGCCAGCACGAAGUUCAAAUUGUACAUUAUUGCCAUGCUCAACUCGGAACAAACAUUAGAGCACUGGUCUGAUGUGGGAGCCAGGGAAAAACACAUACGUACUAUUUCUAGUUGCUCGAAAGAAACAAUCUUUUCCAAUAUCAACUAAAUUAAGAUUUACAUGUGGGUAUUUGUACAAACCAUGGACUAUCUGCAAGAAGCAGCGCAGACAAAAAUUUCAGUUCAGUCUCCAUUAGAAAGGUAAGGUAAGCGUGCAGACCUCAUGCCGAGACGAGCUGAUGUUGCUGGCAGCGAGGAAGGCUCGGCGUCCUCUGACUAUGGAUGCACACUGGCCAGAAUCACGUAGCCACGGCCCCGACCAGAAUCACCGUGUCUGUCCCGGAUUAGAGAGAGGGAACAACAAAAUACAAGCAUGGUUUUGGUACGGAUUCACAGAAGACCCUAAUCAAACAUCACGACAGCAUACUAUUUGGAAUUCAGAAAUCCAUUCAAGUCAUGCACUCCAAUCACCCAAGAAUGAUUACCAACAAGCAUCAUGUUCUAGAAAAAAUAUUCAGGCACGCCAUGGUUUCCAAUUCAGAAGAUGAAGCACAGCAAACAGGCUGUUAAGCCCAAUUCUAAAAAUCAAACAUACCUUGUUAGCUAUUCUAGUCGCUGCAGU
This 2250-nucleotide long non-coding RNA is filed under the name Triticum aestivum (bread wheat). Its description in RNAcentral is "long non-coding RNA (TAES_LNC027494)". The record is from RNAcentral. Lineage: Eukaryota; Viridiplantae; Streptophyta; Magnoliopsida; Poales; Poaceae.